UCAACUUUUAAAUUGAGCUGGACUUUCACACGGGCUUCCAAUGGUACUCCCAGUCUCUAUAAACAAUAUAAUAUAACGUUGUAUAGUAGGUUGAAUUUUUAAGAAUGUUUCAUGCUUUUCUUGAUCUGGUGAAAGACCCUCUACAUCUUCUAAAAGUUUUGGAUCAGCUUUGUAGAAAUGAGGAAAAGACAAGUAAACUGGAGCAUCUAUAAACAAUCACACCACAUUUUACUUAAAACUGUAAAGGGGUUUGUUUCAUAUAAAUAUAUGAGGACUGGAACUACUAUAUUAUUUAUGCAAUUCAGUACAAGGGCGUACAUACAAGAUGCUUGUUGAUAC
Aphis gossypii (cotton aphid) is the source of this 339-nucleotide long non-coding RNA. RefSeq lists it as uncharacterized. Lineage: Eukaryota; Metazoa; Arthropoda; Insecta; Hemiptera; Aphididae. The record is from RefSeq and is a predicted model, not a curated record. The transcript is spliced from 3 exons.